CCAUCGAAAUCCAACACCAUCGAGAUCAACUCACACCCUAUCCUUGGAAUAUUUCAUGCCUCCUCUUCAGAUCUCAUGCCCAACCAUAUUAUCUCAUGCUGGUCCAAGCUUCUACGACACGUGAAAAUCAUUUGAAUUAUUUUCAAGAGUUGCUUUGGGCAGAAGGACUCUUCAAAAUAAAUUCAUCGAUAUUUUUUUGAGUCACAAAGGUUUCUUAGAUGGCUCUUAUAUUCCCCACCCUUGAUUAGUGCUC
RNAcentral lists this long non-coding RNA (253 nucleotides) under Elaeis guineensis (African oil palm). RNAcentral describes it as "long non-coding RNA (EGUI_LNC041178)". Lineage: Eukaryota; Viridiplantae; Streptophyta; Magnoliopsida; Arecales; Arecaceae. The record is from RNAcentral.